RNAcentral lists this ribosomal RNA (301 nucleotides) under uncultured Thermosulfurimonas sp. Its description in RNAcentral is "partial 16S ribosomal RNA". It matches the Rfam family "Bacterial small subunit ribosomal RNA", at positions 494 to 795 of the family's 1533-position model. The record is from RNAcentral. Lineage: Bacteria; Pseudomonadati; Thermodesulfobacteriota; Thermodesulfobacteria; Thermodesulfobacteriales; Thermodesulfobacteriaceae.
CGGCUAAUUGCGUGCCUGCUGCCGGCGGUAUACGUGGGGAGCAAAUGUGGUUCGGAAUCACGGUGGGGAGAGGGUGGGUAGGGGGUUCGGUAAGUGGAAUGUGAAAGCCCCCGGCUCACCCGGGGAACUGCAUCCCAUACUGCUGGACUUGAGUGCGGGAGAGGAUGGAGGAAUUCCUGGUGUAGCGGUGAAAUGCGUAGAUAUCAGGAGGAACACCUGUGGCGAAGGCGUCCAUCUGGCCCGUUACUGACGCUGAUGCGCGAAAGCUAGGGGAGCAAACGGGAUUAGAUACCCCGGAGUC